AUUAGUGCGUUUACAAACGUUUAGCUAGACACAGAGUGCCAAUUGGUGCGUUUAGGAACCUUUAGCCAGACAGAAAAGUUCUCCAGGUCCCCACCCAACCCAGAAGCCCUGCAGGCUUCACCGCUCAGUGGCACUCGCCCGGGACUUUGCGGCACCUAGUCCGGGCACUCUGGCAGCCCAGAGGGAGCUCGUCAUCAAGCCCAGCAGGCGCCGGCCUGCCGCGCCGAGAGCAGGGGCCCGCCGAGCCUGGGCCCACCCGGAACGCGCGCCCGGCUUCAAGCGCCUCGCGCAGCCAUGGAUCCCGCCCGCGCCUCUCCCCACACACCUCCCCGCCAGCAGAGGGAGCCGGCUCAAGCCUCGGCCAGCCCUAGAGAGGGGCCCCCACAGCACAGCCGCGGGCCGAAGGGCUCCUGGAACGCGGCCAGAGCGGACGCAGAGGCCCAGGAGGCGCCGAGAGCCCAGAGCGAGCAAGGGCUGCCCUCACGUUUUCACCUCUCAACAGGAGGAAGUAAAGGAAAUUUUACCUACGAAAUAGCAAUACUAAGCUUUACAGCUGAUAUUACAACAGCAACAAGAAAAGGCUGGUGAUAUGCAAUAUGAUGCUCUCUCCAGAUGCUAGGCAGUCAGCCAGGAAAUCAGUAGGAUAAACAACCGACAUUCUUCAGCUUCUUCAGCGUACCGUGUUGUCAGAUGAUUCUGCCCAGCUGCAGGCUAAUUAAAAGUUACCUGAAUCGACUCCUGGAUACAUCACAAUUGAGUUAAAGGUUGGAAAACUGAGGGAAAAGUCCCUGACAGCCCAGAAAAACGCCCUGAAUAUCACUGCAAAGAAAUAGAGGAUCUCAAGCUGAGAACAACCAAAGAUAAGUAAAUGAAUGAGGGCUACUCAUUCCACAUAGCCCCCUCUUUGCCUUACCAAAUCCUCUCAGUUAUUUCCACCUUUCCCCUUGAACUUCGCCGCCAGACAUCAGAACUCUUCUUUGACACAUACUUGCAAGGAGAUUUUGACUAUCCAUGGGAGUAUGUUUGUAACUUCUUAGACCUAUAAGGGGAAAUUGUAUAUUCUGGCAAAUGGUAAAUAAAUUUUGGAUGGAAAUAGCUUACUACAUUACAAUUGCAGGAAUUGCUAUACUUACUCUGCUGUUUGCAGUGGGACUAUAUACCAUGACACUCACACAGUGGAAUUCUGGACAAAGAAUUUUACUUGCUGUAAUCUUCUGCCCAACUAUCACCUUUAUAGCAGGUCUAAUAAUUACAGAAAACAAAGACAAAUAUGAAGUUCUUGCUACUGAAACUUUUCUUCCUCCUCCUGAUAGAGCAGGUCAAUCCCCUAAACCCUAUAGCCCAACAAAUCCAACACCUCGCCUUGGCAGUCAACCUAACUUCAUGUUAUAUUUGUACUUCAGACUCGCUGUCAGCGGAAGUAUUACCACUAUCAUUGGAGGAUUUAGCCAAAGUUAACACUCCAGUUACCCUCACUGCUCAGUCCAAUGCAACUUAUCCUGAUAAGCAAGUCAAGGAUAUAUUUCUCCCAAUCAUCUCACAAGUUAUAAAGGAUGGCCACCCAGACCUGAAUUUUACAGAAACCCCACCUCCUAUAAAAGUCUUUGGCAAUGUGGAUUCAAGGCUCACAUUUCCUAUUUAUUUCACAUCCCAAAGGAAAAAAGGAACUUUCCUGAGAACCUUGUCCAACUGCUCAUAUGAAGUCUUUCUUAGCUGGACAGCUCAGGAAAGGCCAUAUAACCCCUCAGAAAAGAGACUCAAAUGGUACCUUAAAGUAAGAAAGCAGCACCAGUUCCUUCUCCUUAAAUAUCCAAAUUCAAGGCAACCUCAAUUUACUAGUAACACCAACGCUUGCCACAUUUCUACGGGUUGGUACUCAGUGUUGAUAGAUAACUCGCCUUUACCCCUAACCCAAACUUUAGCCUGGGGAGUGCAGAGAAUGUUCUUAAAAUUCCACCCCAAUCACGUAUUCACCCCCAGCAUUUGAGUGGAAUUUGCCUCAAUAUGGGAGGACCUCAGUGGGAACUACUUAAGUAAGCAAGACCCCCCAUGUAGAGCUGAACUUUUGGGGAUAUAAAGUGUCUCUAGAUCUCAAACGAGAGCUAUACUUCAUAUGUGGAAAUUUGGGGUAUAUGAGCCCACCAAGUCAUUGGAGGAGAACCUGUGGUGUUGCAGCAAUACUUUCAAAACUAUCCUAUGCCAAUACUUCCAUACAAUUCCCGUUCCUUAUAAAACACCCAUAUUGUAGUAAGAAAAGGCAGCUCACGUAAUUCUAGUCGGGCAGCUCAUGUAAUUCUAAUCCCUUUAGCAGCUGUUGUAACUGGACUCCUAGGAAUCACUCUUCGGUCCGUCUCCCGAAGGUAAAUGGGAUUACAUUUAUCCUUUCAGCAAACUCAAGCUCUAGCUGAAAUUACGGCUGCCAGUCAGGCAUGGUGGCUCACGCCUGUAAUCCCAGCACUUUGGGAGGCCGAGGCAGGUGGAUAAUGAGGUCAGGAGUUCCAGACCAGCCUGGCCAAUAUGGUGAAACCCUGUCUCUACUAAAAAAAUACAAAAAUUAGCCAGGCAUGGUGGCACACACCCAGCUACUUGGAAGGCUGAGGCAGGAGAAUCGCUUGAACCUGGGAGGCAGAGGUUGCAGUGAGCCAAGAUCACACCACUGCACUCCAGCCUGGGUGACACGGUAAGACUUCAUCUUGAAAAAAAAAAAAAAAGGAAAAGAAAUUAUGGCUGCCAUUCAAGAACAACAACGGCAAAUAAACUCACUUGCAGGUAUCACCCUGCAAAACCGUAGGGGACAGAACCUCCUAAUGGCAAGUCAGAGAGGAAUAUGUGUUUUCCUUAAGGAAGAGUGUUGCUCCUAUAUUAAUGCUUCUGGUAAAGUACAGCAACAUCUAGUAGAGGCAACCAAUAUUAUCACCCACACGCCACAGCACAGCCCAUCUACAUGGCUCACAGGCAUCAAACAAACUCUGAUGUCAUGGUUCUGGUCUAUAGUGCCCCCACUAAUACUGGUAAUCUUAAUUAAUACUCAUAUUUAGACCCUAUAUUCUGAACCUCCUUGUAAAGUUCUUCUCUUCUUGCCUAGAAACCAUCUACUUUCAAAUGGUGCUGCAAAUGGAGCUGAAAAUGAAACCGUCCUUCUAAAAUGAAACCGCCCUUCUACCGGGGACCCUUAAAUUGACCCCUGGAGGAGCCCUAAUUGCUGGUCCCCACACAAUACCCCUCUCCAGCAGGAAGUGGCCAGAGAAGUCAUCACCCAAUUCCCCCUAACAGCAGUUAGGGAUCCCAUUGCAGAGGGGAGAAAUAUGUUAUAGGAGGCAGAAAGAAAUUAUUUAGACAGUUGGGGUAAAGCGAGUCCCCGGCAGGAAACUUUCCUUUUAACAAAAAGCAGCUCAAACAGAGCUCCCUUUCUAACCUCAUGCAGUUCAAGGAUGCCACUUCUCUUCUAACAACAAGCAGCCUGAAAGAGCAGACAACAAAACACAGAUAAGACAGCUGGGGCACAGAAGGAGGGGGGGAAAUCUCCUGGGUAGUCACCAAACUUCACAUUUAUACUAUGGGUCCCAGUAAAACAGUGGACCUUAAUAAGCACGUUCCUUUCCCUUCAGGUGCACUAAGAUAGGGAAGCUAAAAGCAGACUCUGGGGGUAUGCCUGCAGCUGCAGGAAGAUGUAUGUAGGAGACAGAAACUCUCCCUCCUACAUAAGCAAGACAAAGAGACACAGACUAAAAGUUGGCCUAUGUGGUCCAGGAACGGAGUGGGAACUGAUCAAACAAACAAACACAAACUCUGCUCUAUACAGAUAGCAUACCUGGCUCAACUGAACCUUUGGGCACCUAGGAGGAUAAGACACCCCCUCCUCAACAGCCCCCUCCUCACUAGCCCGUUUAUAAAAACCCUGGCAUUUUUACUGCCACCCAGCAACCCACUCGGGACCCCUCUCUGUAACUGAAAGCUGUUCUUUCCUUUUGCCUAUCAAACUCCUGCUCCGAACUCACUGUCUGUGUGUGUGUCCAUGACCUCCGUCUCCUUCGCUGUGAGACCAAGAGCCUUGGUAUUUACCCCAGACGAUGAGGCUGCUUUAUAAUUAUGUUCUUGUAAAGCAUUUCUGAAAAUGGUAUUGCUCCAAACUGUAAAAUUGCAAGUUUAAUAUU
Long non-coding RNA from Pongo pygmaeus (Bornean orangutan), 4154 nucleotides. RefSeq lists it as uncharacterized. NCBI's taxonomy places the organism in Eukaryota, Metazoa, Chordata, Mammalia, Primates, Hominidae. The record is from RefSeq and is a predicted model, not a curated record. The transcript has 3 exons.